This 632-nucleotide long non-coding RNA is filed under the name Capra hircus (goat). RNAcentral describes it as "lncRNA (ENSCHIG00010029557.1)". Lineage: Eukaryota; Metazoa; Chordata; Mammalia; Artiodactyla; Bovidae. The record is from RNAcentral.
CUCAGAAGCCCAGGACUGUUUUCUGCCCUUGGGUCACUCAUAGGUGCGCGGGGAGAGCGGGGCGGGCCGGAGCCAGUGCUGAUAAACCAGGGGCAGGGGCCACCUGGCGGGGCCGUUCAGGCUGGCAAACUUUUCAGAGGUUUGGACUUGAGGAAUUCGACUGAAGAAGGAAGUGAAGGGAGGUUCCUGGGGGAGCCACGAGUCCCCCCAACCCAUGCUGCGGGAAGGAAGGGGUCAGGAGAGAAACCUAGCCCCUCUGGGCAAGGCGAUUCCGAAGUACCAGGGCACCGGAGGAAUGCAGUCAGCACUCAGAUGCCUGCGGUUUGCAAUGUCAUGGUAAGUAUGUGUUCAGUUAANNNNNNNNNNNNNNNNNNNNNNNNNNNNUCAUCAAGAACACACAGCACAGGAGUGUUCCACCAGCAUUUAAUUAAUGUCCACAGCUACUGUGAAGACUCAGCCUAUCUCCCAUUAGCAUCAGAGUAUUGUAAUUGGCGUCAUAAGGAUAUUAGAUAGGUUUUCACUGGGGACGAGGAGGAUGUGGCAUGUUAAAAACCCAUUAGAAAUGAGCCCUCAUCAUUAUAGUCAGUGGUCUGGAAGAUACACACUCAUUGGCUAAGACAGCUUACAGUCCC